GCGAAUGGCUCAUUAAAUCAGUUAUCGUUUAUUUGAUAGUACCUUACUACUUGGAUAACCGUGGUAAUUCUAGAGCUAAUACAUGCUGAAAACCCCAACUUCGGGAGGGGUGUAUUUAUUAGAUAAAAAACCAACGCCCUUCGGGGCUUCUUGGUGAUUCAUGAUAACUUAACGGAUCGCAUGGCCUUGCGCCGGCGACGGUUCAUUCAAAUUUCUGCCCUAUCAACUUUCGAUGGUAAGGUAUUGGCUUACCAUGGUUUCAACGGGUAACGGGGAAUUAGGGUUCGAUUCCGGAGAGGGAGCCUGAGAAACGGCUACCACAUCCAAGGAAGGCAGCAGGCGCGCAAAUUACCCAAUCCUGAUACAGGGAGGUAGUGACAAUAAAUACUGAUACAGGGCUCUUUUGGGUCUUGUAAUUGGAAUGAGUACAAUUUAAACCUCUUAACGAGGAACAAUUGGAGGGCAAGUCUGGUGCCAGCAGCCGCGGUAAUUCCAGCUCCAAUAGCGUAUAUUAAAGUUGUUGCAGUUAAAAAGCUCGUAGUUGAACCUUGGGUCUGGCUGGCAGGUCCGCCUCACCGCGUGUACUUGUCCGGCCGGGCCUUCCUUCUGGAGAACCUCAUGCCCUUCACUGGGCGUGUUGGGGACCAGGACUUUUACUUUGAAAAAAUUAGAGUGUUCAAAGCAGGCCUUUGCUCGAAUACGUUAGCAUGGAAUAAUAAAAUAGGACGUGCGGUCCUAUUUUGUUGGUUUCUAGGACCGCCGUAAUGAUUAAUAGGGACAGUCGGGGGCAUCAGUAUUCAAUUGUCAGAGGUGAAAUUCUUGGAUUUAUUGAAGACUAACUACUGCGAAAGCAUUUGCCAAGGAUGUUUUCAUUAAUCAGUGAACGAAAGUUAGGGGAUCGAAGACGAUCAGAUACCGUCGUAGUCUUAACCGUAAACUAUGCCGACUAGGGAUCGGGCGAUGUUCUUUUUCUGACUCGCUCGGCACCUUACGAGAAAUCAAAGUUUUUGGGUCUGGGG
Molecule: ribosomal RNA, 1019 nt
Filed under: Ophiobolus artemisiicola
Lineage: Eukaryota; Fungi; Ascomycota; Dothideomycetes; Pleosporales; Phaeosphaeriaceae
Description: SSU rRNA
Rfam family: Eukaryotic small subunit ribosomal RNA
Source: RNAcentral